This 1171-nucleotide long non-coding RNA is filed under the name Homo sapiens (human). RNAcentral's name for it is "non-protein coding lnc-CYLD-2:14". Lineage: Eukaryota; Metazoa; Chordata; Mammalia; Primates; Hominidae. The record is from RNAcentral.
CAGUGCCCACUUUGUUCAUCUCUGCUCACUGGGGGAGCCAGGACACGGAUCCAGGUUUUCUGACUCCAGGUCUCAGGCUUGCUCCAUAGCGCCACCUGCUGGUGACGGCAAUCGGUAGGCACCCAAAUCAAGACUCAGAUUUCCUCAUCUCAGAAGUUGUCCACUUCUUCUCCGACCUCCACGGUAACUCGGAACCACACCGUGGAGUUAUCCCUGUGUCCUCUUUCUCGGAAGUUCCACAUCCAACCCCUCAGCAGGUCUCAGCGGCACUCUCACCACCUCCUCUGCUCUGUUCCUGUUUCUCUUGGAUGGUCGAAUGUUUCCUAAGGAGUGUCUGCUGCUUCACGCUUGCCCCCUGGAGUGGCAUCUAAAAGGUGCAGGAUACCCUACAACUAACAGGCAUGAUGCCAUCAAGACAUCUUGAGCCUGGCUACCUCCCGUGGCCUGUAUUUUGUCCACAGGAAACUCGCGCAGUCUCACUACAGCAAAUUGAGGUGGUAUGGGGUGCCUGCUGCUGCCUCUCUCUUCACCUUUCCACAGAGGGCUGCCCCAGCCUGACUCCCACUUCCAGAGUUUCUCCAGCCAGGAGAAUCCUGAAAUCUCUGUAAAUAAGCAAUCCAGGAGCCAGAGAAUCAUGGGAUCUCAUAUAAACAAAUCAUCAAGGAAAAACACAGCCAGAGUCUCCAUUUGGUAAACCUCCGUGACUGGGGAUCCCCGGCCACCCAGAAAGCAGUAUUGCCUGCCAUGCAUGUCAUCACUGAUUUUUACUGCUGCAGCAGACUCCGUCAGACCUGCCUGCUGCUUCAGCGAAUUGUUCAGUGCACACCACCAGCUACCUGCUGUAAGCAUUCACACUCCUCUACCUGCCUGGCAGCAUUUCUCAGCUGAACACAGGCCAGGCCAGAAGUGCCAGGGAUUUAAUGCCCUUAGAAGUAGCUCUCUACCAAUGACAAAUGGAGCUGGUGGAUACAUUCUCAGCUUCCUCCCCUCUCAGGUGGAACAGCCCUGAGAUGUGCUCUAUGCAAUCUCCCACAAGUCCCCAGCAGGCUCAAGCUCCCAUUGUCCAACCCUGGUAACCUGCUCAUUGACACCCCUGUCUUGCCUUCCCUUCCUGGCCUCACUUUCUCACUCUCUUACUGUUGCCUCCUGAGAUCGCAUCCAAAAUAAAUGA